GGGGUCGACUGGUUUUGACAGCGAGUCUAAUUGACCUGUAAGCAUGCAGAGCGCUGAGAUACAGCUCUUAAAUAUCAUAUUUCAACCUUUUUAAAUGGCGAGAAUAACUACGCUCUUGCUGCCUAAUCUGAAUUCACAGUAGGAUUUUGGCCACGUUUCCGCAAGGCGGAAAGGCGAGAUGUCUCUGAGCAGCCCUUGUUGAUGGCGGCUCAUCAUGAGGCACCAUAAAAGUCAACAUAGAAACUUUGUAGCUUCGACAAAGUUUCAAAACUUAAGAAGCUAAGCUAUUAGUGGGCGGUUUUCGGUCAGCUAAUAGUCGACAAUUAAUCGGAAACUAAGCAUGUAGAAAGCAUUUUAAUUGCUUGUUUGGACGAGGGUUCGAAUCCCUCCGACUCCACUA
RNAcentral lists this transfer-messenger RNA (400 nucleotides) under Flavobacteriaceae. RNAcentral's name for it is "Galbibacter_B marinus Standard tmRNA". It matches the Rfam family "transfer-messenger RNA". From Rfam's summary of the family: Bacterial tmRNA, also known as 10Sa RNA or SsrA, is named for its dual tRNA and mRNA-like properties. RNAcentral also lists the same sequence under 1 other name. The record is from RNAcentral. Lineage: Bacteria; Pseudomonadati; Bacteroidota; Flavobacteriia; Flavobacteriales.